Prunus persica (peach) is the source of this 1220-nucleotide long non-coding RNA. RefSeq lists it as uncharacterized. NCBI's taxonomy places the organism in Eukaryota, Viridiplantae, Streptophyta, Magnoliopsida, Rosales, Rosaceae. The record is from RefSeq and is a predicted model, not a curated record. The transcript is spliced from 2 exons.
CUGCCAAAACUUGCAUAACUUCCUCUAAAAGACUCGGAAUCAUGAACCGUAAAAUGGUCCAGAAACUAUACUUCCACAUCUUUCCAAUGAUAUAUGGCUCAUUAGUUGGUUUUCCAUAACAAGAAUAGUCCAAUCCGUGAAGUUGACUGAUCUGCAGACACAAUUUUGAGCUAACUUGACUCCAAAAAAUUGCAUUAAAUGAGUUAUAAAGCUUAAUACACUGAAACAAACAUAAAAGAGAUGAAAAGUACAAGUUUAACUAAAAAAUAUAAUAAAAUCAUAAGCUAAAAGGGUACAAAAUUAUAUACAAUUAUACACUGAUCACUUACUUUAAAUGUGGCUUGUCUCAAUUAGACCCCAAAUGCAUGACACUAAUAAGGAUAUCAUAUGUCCCAUCCCAUAUCCACCUUCGGAUUAUUAAAAAAAAAAAAAAUGCAAAGCAAGUGCUCAAAACUUGCUUUAAACAUGGCUUGUCUCAAUUGGACCCCAAAUGCAUGCCACCUGACCAAGAAAACAAUUUUUUUUUUUUUCUUAAAGUAACCUAGAAUAGUACUUGGAUUUGCUUUGCACAAAGAAAAAACAACAAAAAAGUUCUAACAUGGCAUUUAAUUGGUGCCUGAGUGCCUCAUUACUUGACCGCGUGGGUGUUGUCGUCCUUCCCUUCUAUAUCUCCCAACGACCAAGAGAAGCAUCUCUUCAAAAUAAUAGCCUUCAUCUCUUGCAGAACAAAACAGCAAUUUCCCUUGGAGACUAUAUCCAUUAGAGAAGAAACAAAAUGGAACGAAUAACCAUUUCUCUUGGGUCCUUCCUUUUGCAAUACCACCACCAUUGUGGAUCUAUAAAUGACAAACGAAGUGGAUUUGAACCCUCAAGUUAACAAUCAGGUCCCUGAGAAGACUACCAUUCAAGUCAAUCAAAAGAAGCAAAGAAGGACCAAGAAGUCUGGCUUAGCUGGAAACCAUAGAAAAUCUGAGGUAUGGAAUUAUUUUAAGAAAGUUUUAGAUGAGAAAACGGGAAAAUACAAAGUUAUUGCAGUUGUAAGCCAAGAAGGCCUGUCACGCGAAUGAGUGGUGUUGACAAAUCUUGUUUGGUUUUGUUUGAUUAAGUAUGUAGAUUUUUUAUGUAAAGGAAAAUCACUGCAGUUGUAACUUCAAGUUUUCUUAUGGAUGUUAUCUAUGUUAAUUGUUGUGGUUUGUAUUUUAAUUUUCAAUUUUGGACAA